UACAGUGGGGGCAAGCGUUGUUCGGAAUUACUGGGCGUAAAGGGCUCGUAGGCGGCCAACUAAGUCACACGUGAAAUCCCCAGGCUUAACCUGGGAACUGCGUGUGAUACUGGAUGGCUUGAAUCCGGGAGAGGGAUGCAGAAUUCCAGGUGUAGCGGUGAAAUGCGUAGAUAUCUGGAGGAAUACCGGUGGCGAAGGCGGCAUCCUGGACCGGCAUUGACGCUGAGGCGCGACAGCGUGGGGAGCAAACAGG
RNAcentral lists this ribosomal RNA (253 nucleotides) under uncultured bacterium. RNAcentral describes it as "partial 16S ribosomal RNA". It matches the Rfam family "Bacterial small subunit ribosomal RNA", at positions 524 to 776 of the family's 1533-position model. The record is from RNAcentral.